RNAcentral lists this ribosomal RNA (497 nucleotides) under uncultured bacterium. RNAcentral's name for it is "partial 16S ribosomal RNA". It matches the Rfam family "Bacterial small subunit ribosomal RNA", at positions 28 to 507 of the family's 1533-position model. The record is from RNAcentral.
GAUGAACGCUGGCGGCGUGCCUAAUACAUGCAAGUCGAGCGAACGGACGAGCAGCUUGCUUCUCUGAUGUUAGCGGCGGACGGGUGAGUAACACGUGGAUAACCUACCUAUAAGACUGGGAUAACUUCGUGAAACCGGAGCUAAUACCGGAUAAUAUUUUGAACCGCAUGGUUCAAAAGUGAAAGACGGUCUUGCUGUCACUUAUAGAUGUAUCCGCGUUGCAUUAGCUAGUUGGUAAGGUAACGGCUUACCAAGGCAACGAUGCAUAGCCGACCUGAGAGGGUGAUCGGCCACACUGGAACGGAGACACGGUCCAGACUCCUACGGGAGGCAGCAGUAGGGAAUCUUCCGCAAUGGGCGAAAGCCUGACGGAGCAACGCCGCGUGAGUGAUGAAGGUCUUCGGAUCGUAAAACUCCGUUAUUAGGGAAGAACAUAUGUGUAAGUAACUGUGCACAUCUUGACGGUACCUAAUCAGAAAGCCACGGCUAACUACGUG